GGGCGGUUAGCUCAGCUGGAUAGAGUACAGGCCUCCGAAGCCUGGGGUCGUGCGUUCGAAUCGCAUACCGCCCACCA
Molecule: transfer RNA, 77 nt
Filed under: Desulfuromonadaceae bacterium
Lineage: Bacteria; Pseudomonadati; Thermodesulfobacteriota; Desulfuromonadia; Desulfuromonadales; Desulfuromonadaceae
Also listed under: 2 other names
Description: tRNA-Arg
Rfam family: tRNA
About the family: Transfer RNA (tRNA) molecules are approximately 80 nucleotides in length. Their secondary structure includes four short double-helical elements and three loops (D, anti-codon, and T loops).
Source: RNAcentral